Molecule: ribosomal RNA, 253 nt
Filed under: uncultured bacterium
Lineage: Bacteria
Description: partial 16S ribosomal RNA
Rfam family: Bacterial small subunit ribosomal RNA
Source: RNAcentral
UACGUAGGUGGCAAGCGUUGUCCGGAUUUACUGGGCGUAAAGAGCGCGCAGGCGGUCGAGUAAGUCGAAUGUGAAAGCCCCCGGCUUAACUGGAGGGGUGGCAUUGAUACUGGAAGACUUGAGUGCAGUCGAGGUAGGCGGAAUUGACGGUGUAGCGGUGAAAUGCUUAGAUAUCGUCAAGAACACCGAUAGUGAAGACAGCUUACUAGGCUGCAACUGACGCUGAGGCACGAAAGUGUGGGGAUCAAACAGG